Molecule: long non-coding RNA, 1852 nt
Filed under: Salmo salar (Atlantic salmon)
Lineage: Eukaryota; Metazoa; Chordata; Actinopteri; Salmoniformes; Salmonidae
Description: lncRNA (ENSSSAG00000119717.1)
Source: RNAcentral
AACGUUUUUAUAUAAGGUCAUAAAGUUGUGUGUUUCCUGGUCCUCCUCUAAUUGCAGUGUGUGAGUGAUUUAAUGAGGGGACCUCUCUUUAAUGAAGGACUGUAUGAAUUAGUGCUGCUCUCCAUUCUGUGCCUCUUUAGCCUGUAGAUUGAGAGCAAUCAUGAUUAUUAUCAUUGAAAGAGAUCAUUUCCAUUUCCAAACUGCUACAAACAUUUUUAUAUAAAAGACAACAAGUCUAUUUCGACCCUUAUUUCCAAUGAGCACCUUUUCAGACCAUUUCUAUAUUUUUGACAGAGGCAAAGCAACUCUCCCUAUUUUCUCUUUUACUCAGUAACUUCCUCAACUUUCAAAGAGCAGUUUAGGCUACAGCAUUGACUCUGGAUGCUGGCUCAGCUUUCAAAGAGCAGUUUAGGCUACAGCAUUUACUCUGGAUGCUGGCUCAGCUUUCAAAGAGCGGUUUAGGCUACAGCAUUUACUCUGGAUGCUGGCUCAGCUUUCAAAGAGCAGUUUAGGCUACAGCAUUUACUCUGGAUGCUGGCUCAGCUUUCAAAGAGCGGUUUAGGCUACAGCAUUUACUCUGGAUGCUGGCUCAGCUUUCAAAGAGCGGUUUAGGCUACAGCAUUUACUCUGGAUGCUGGCUCAGCUUUCAAAAAGCGGUUUAGGCUACAGCAUUGACUCUGGAUGCUGGCUCAGCUUUCAAAGAGCGGUUUAGGCUACAGCAUUUACUCUGGAUGCUGGCUCAGCUUUCAAAGAGCGGUUUAGGCUACAGCAUUUACUCUGGAUGCUGGCUCAGCUUUCAAAGAGCGGUUUAGGCUACAGCAUUUACUCUGGAUGCUGGCUCAGCUUUCAAAGAGCGGCUUAGGCUACAGCAUUUACUCUGGAUGCUGGCUCAGCUUUCAAAGAGCGGUUUAGGCUACAGCAUUUACUCUGGAUGCUGGCUCAGCUUUCAAAGAGCGGUUUAGGCUACAGCAUUGACUCUGGAUGCUGGCUCGGCCUCUCUGUUGAAAAGGUUACGUCCCAAUUUUAAGGAUGGCUAUUUGAAAUUAUUUUCCUAUUUGAAUAACAUCAGCAUGACAUUUUCUGGAUACCCGGACAGUCAACAUUUUUAUGACGCAAAUACACAUGGCAGAGGUAAACAGGACGGACUGCUUUUCACUGGUAGUUUUGACUAACAGUGAAAGCAAAGUCAGAUUUUCACCGUGACAGAACUGAUUCUGAUCUGUGUCAGGUCUUGUGGAAACUCUGUUAGGUAUGCGCAUGUAAUUGCUAUUUAAAGGUGGGAAGAUUAUAAGCUGACUGCAAGGCUAAAUGUACAGCGGUAGUUCAACACAAGGUUAAAAAAAAACUACAAUCAAAAGUUUGUUUUUAAAUUAAGCAUUUCAAAAGUCAUGGUAUAUCUUUGUAGGUAGCAAUGUCACUAGGAUAAUUAAAAUGUAAUUCAGACAAAGCUUUUUCAUUGUCAAAAUACUCAGUCAAGUAGUUGAAUACUAACGUCUGUUCGGAUAUUUGAUUCAUCGGUUAACCGUGUCUGUCCCUAGUCCCAAUGUCUCCUUUCAGGUAUAUGAAAACUCCCCGCCCAUGCCUACACCAAUCCAAUGAGUUUAAAAUGUGUUGGAAGUAGUGAACGAGACCACAGUUCAGGAGGAAGGAGAGAUAAUUGGGACGUAACCUUAGUUGAGAGCUCUAGUGUUAGUGUAUCAGCUGGUUAGGUAAAGGAAGCCAUAAACUCUCAAUAAUUCCCGAGACUGGAGACAAAGGCUCAUGUUCACUGCUGGGUGUCGAUAAAAGGUAGCAUUAGGCUGCCCUUGGAGGCAUUACCUCCCCACACACACACAAGCAGGUGCCGCACACA